CUGUAAGUGGGGGGGAUAUUCUAGUUCGAAGGCUAGCCUAUCGCAUCCGACUAGGGUGAAGUGGGGGACGCAGCCUCAUGCUAUAGAGCGGCCGAUUCUGAUUAGCUUAGUUGUUGGGGUAAUGCUACUAGGCGAACGAUCAGUAGCUGUUUGAGAGGACGAUCAGUCACCCUAGGACUGAGACACGGCCAGACUCUACGGAGGCAGCAGUGGGGAAUUUCGACAAUGAGGGCACCUGAUCCAGCAUGCCGCGUGGUGUGAAGAAGGACUUCGGGUUGUAAAGCACUUUUGUCCGGGAAGAAAUCGCACCUGAUAAAUACCGGGUGUGGAUGACGGUACCGGAAGAAUAAGGACCGGCUAACUACGUGCCAGCAGCCGCGGUAAUACGUAGGGCCCAAGCGUUAAUCGGAAUUACUGGGCGUAAAGCGUGCGCAGGCGGUUGUGCAAGACCGAUGUGAAAUCCCCGGGCUUAACCUGGGAAUUGCAUUGGUGACUGCACGGCUAGAGUGUGUCAGAGGGGGGUAGAAUUCCACGUGUAGCAGUGAAAUGCGUAGAGAUGUGGAGGAAUACUGAUGGCGAAGGCAGCCCCCUGGGAUAACACUGACGCUCAUGCACGAAAGCGUGGGGAGCAAACAGGAUUAGAUACCCUGGUAGUCCACGCCCUAAACGAUGUCAACUAGUUGUUGGGGAUUCAUUUCCUUAGUAACGUAGCUAACGCGUGAAGUUGACCGCCUGGGGAGUACGGUCGCAAGAUUAAAACUCAAAGGAAUUGACGGGGACCCGCACAAGCGGUGGAUGAUGUGGAUUAAUUCGAUGCAACGCGAAAAACCUUACCUACCCUUGACAUGCCACUAACGAAGCAGAGAUGCAUUAGGUGCUCGUAAGAGAAAGUGGACACAGGUGCUGCAUGGCUGUCGUCAGCUCGUGUCGUGAGAUGUUGGGUUAAGUCCCGCAACGAGCGCAACCCUUGUCUCUAGUUGCUACGAAAGGGCACUCUAGAGAGACUGCCAGUGACAAACCGGAGGAAGGUGGGGAUGACGUCAAGUCCUCAUGGCCCUUAUGGGUAGGGCUUCACACGUCUAACGACGGUGUGUACAGAGGGCGGGCAAACCGCGAGGUGGAGCCAAUCCCAGAAAAUGCAUCGUAGUCCCGAUCGUAGUCUGCAACUUGGCUGCGUGAAGCUGGAAUCGCUGAUGCAUCGCCUAUGCAUUCAUGCCUACUUGCUUCG
Molecule: ribosomal RNA, 1228 nt
Filed under: uncultured bacterium
Lineage: Bacteria
Description: partial 16S ribosomal RNA
Rfam family: Bacterial small subunit ribosomal RNA
Source: RNAcentral